This is a non-coding RNA of Beta vulgaris subsp. vulgaris (sugar beet), 156 nucleotides long. The record is from Rfam. NCBI's taxonomy places the organism in Eukaryota, Viridiplantae, Streptophyta, Magnoliopsida, Caryophyllales, Amaranthaceae.
GAUAAAGGGCUUGUGACAGCCAAGCAUAUAUAGUGAUGCUGUGUUUUGAUCCUUGGAUGUCGGCUCUUCUGAAGCAGAUUUCACCAAGUGUUGGAUUAUUCGCCGACAUAGACAAUAUGGAACUUAAGCGGGGUUUAGAUUGUCAUAAGACAAGUU